AAUUAAUAAUGCAUGGACACGAACAUACGUCGGUGCGUGAGAGAGAUCCAAAUAUGACAAGUAAGUAAAUUAUCUAAUUUAAUGCUGUUUUGUUUUGUUUUGUUUUUUAAUUUUUUCUGAAUUUUAAUUUAUUUAUAUAUACUAUAUAUAUAGGAAAAAAAAAUUAUAAAAAAAUUAAAAUUGUAACACUGCACGCAUUAAAUGGAUCCAACAGAACGUGAGGUUCC
This 227-nucleotide long non-coding RNA is filed under the name Capsella rubella. RNAcentral describes it as "long non-coding RNA (CRUB_LNC001981)". Lineage: Eukaryota; Viridiplantae; Streptophyta; Magnoliopsida; Brassicales; Brassicaceae. The record is from RNAcentral.